UGUUUUUAUUUUUCUUUGUUAUAUUGAAGAUUUCUUUAUCAUUUAAAAAUUCAAAAUAAUUUUUGAAUAAAAUGUUAAAUAAUGAACAAAAAUAUCAAGAUGACACGAAAAGAAGAAACAGAGCAUUAGCAACGCUAGCGUAAAAAAAAUAAGAGCUGCACUGUGCUGCGUAGUAGUACACCCAACGGGACAAUGUUCUAGCAAUUCCAGUAAAAAACACAAAUAAAAAAAUAAAAAAAUAAACACAAGCACAACGAAUAGACGAUGUCAAUACAGCCCAGCAGCAGCCCACGUGUGAGCCAACACAGGCCGACGCAGGCCAACACAUAACAAACAGGGAAACCGAACUCCAGGCAAGCGAACGAAGUUAAACAUAGUUAAACGUGCGAUCAGUUUAUAUACGACGUCAGUUGACUGAGACUUCGCGAAGUUUGAAUCGACUGGGAUCUAGACAGACCCAAAGUGAAAACUAUCCACCACUAAAUCACCUACGUCGGCAAUGUGCCCCCACCCACCCCCACCCCCACCCCACCCACCACUGCUCCCAUCCUGAUCGGCUCCAGCUUGUGUCGCCUACAUUUUUCCAUCUCUUACUCUCUCGACAUGUUGAUCUUUGGAAGAAGCACAAGGGAGAAACACCCGCCCAGAGUCUCCCAUUGCCACGUUGAUUCCUGUCCGCUCCCACGAGCUCUGGACCUCUGCAUGACCUUCUCUUGCAUUUCUUGGCCCCAAUGAUAUUUUUCUCUUUUUAUUUCAAUAUGUUUCAUUGAUAGAUUUAUGUCAUUAUGAAACCCAACAUUGCCUGUUACUUAUCGUUCAUUUAUCAUUCCCAAAUCUUAUUUUUCCAUUAAAAUCAACUACCUCCAUGGUUAUACCUUGUUGAGCUCUGGCUCCAUGGUUAUAUGUGGACACCACAUUAACCACAUAAAUAUAACCCAAACGCCAGUGAACGUUGACAUAAUCCCACUUAACGACUAGUGGUUGGUGCGGGCAAGUCCUCUUGCAUCCCGACGCCAUUGUGAAUAACUGAAGACGAAUGUAGCCUACACCAUUGCGAUAAUCAUGCUGCAUUUGCAUAACUGGUUUCAAGACUAAAACAUAUGUGUCAUAGUACCCUCACUUGUCCAUAGGCAGUUGUAACCUCUCUCUCUGUUUCACCGUCUCUCCUCUUCUAACUCUCUGUUACUGACUUUAUUCUAAGAACGACUAGCAUGAGCAAUCUAGUUCGACAUAAGGCAACACAAAUUUCAAAUUUUCAAUUAUAUGCAAGGCAAAAGGCGAAACAAAGGUACAAUCCAAUGCAAGAACCUGCAGACAAACAACAACGCACGAUAUCAAGGGCUCACUUGUUGAUCCCCUAAAAAAACAUGAGUAGCCUAUUAGUGUGUUCAAUUUGCAUCUUAUCAUGAAUAUAAUUUUGAAUGGUGCUUGGGAUCCUGUAAAAAUCACCAUCUUGCAAGUGAUAACUUCUGGAUGGCGUUGCAGAUACGUGCUAUAAAGUUUAAGUGUAUUCAAAAAAUAGUAGUAAGAAAAAAGAAUGGAGAUACAGCACAUGACAAAAAUGUUGAACUACUAAAAGUGGCAGCAAUUCAAAAAAAAUAAAAUAAAAGCAGAACAUAGCAGCUAAUCAUGAUCAAUUAGGGGAGCACCGAAGCAGAAACAAGCAAGCAACAAACAUCAUGAUCGAACUGCACUUCAAAACCGAAACAAGCAAGGGAACAUCAUAAUCGCUUGCUGCUAGCCGACGAGAGCGGCAUCCCGAAGACGGUGACUAUUUACUAGACUCCUCAGUCAACAGCAUUGUGUGUUGCAGACUCACCAUGGUGGGUCAGUCCUGCAAGCUCCACCAUGCCGAAGGGCAAAGGCGUCAGCCGUGUGCCACAGAUGAACAUCAAUGAACAUAGCAGAACCACAGAUGAACAAAAAAAUAAACAGAGCCAGAGAAGAUCAAAAGUAGGGGAACACCAAAUUUUAAACUUAAAAAACGAGAAGCUCUAAGCAUCAAGGGUUCCAAACCAACAAGCAAACAUCAUCAUCCAUCAUGUCUUUCAGAUCAAACGACUCCAACGAACCACUACUACUACUUGCAGCUAGAUGACACGACGACAGACGACUGGCACCACCGAGCGGCAUCCAGAGGACACCGAGACAGAACACCCAUCAAGUAGCGCGCAGACAUUGGACGAACAGCUUAGUCCACCUCCUCG
This 2207-nucleotide long non-coding RNA is filed under the name Triticum aestivum (bread wheat). RNAcentral describes it as "long non-coding RNA (TAES_LNC024309)". The record is from RNAcentral. Lineage: Eukaryota; Viridiplantae; Streptophyta; Magnoliopsida; Poales; Poaceae.